This 496-nucleotide ribosomal RNA is filed under the name uncultured bacterium. Its description in RNAcentral is "partial 16S ribosomal RNA". It matches the Rfam family "Bacterial small subunit ribosomal RNA", at positions 29 to 507 of the family's 1533-position model. The record is from RNAcentral.
AUGAACGCUGGCGGCGUGCCUAAUCCAUGCAAGUCGAGCGAACAGACGAGGAGCUUGCUCCUCUGACGUUAGCGGCGGACGGGUGAGUAACACGUGGAUAACCUACCUAUAAGACUGGGAUAACUUCGGGAAACCGGAGCUAGUACCGGAUAAUAUAUUGAACCGCAUGGUUCAAUAGUGAAAGACGGUUUUGCUGUCACUUAUAGAUGGAUCCGCGCCGCAUUAGCUAGUUGGUAAGGUAACGGCUUACCAAGGCAACGAUGCGUAGCCGACCUGAGAGGGUGAUCGGCCACACUGGAACUGAGACACGGUCCAGACUCCUACGGGAGGCAGCAGUAGGGAAUCUUCCGCAAUGGGCGAAAGCCUGACGGAGCAACGCCGCGUGAGUGAUGAAGGUCUUCGGAUCGUAAAACUCUGUUAUUAGGGAAGAACAAAUGUGUAAGUAACUAUGCACGUCUUGACGGUACCUAAUCAGAAAGCCACGGCUAACUACGUG